UGACCUCGGAUCAGGUUG
Molecule: ribosomal RNA, 18 nt
Filed under: Trichoderma harzianum
Lineage: Eukaryota; Fungi; Ascomycota; Sordariomycetes; Hypocreales; Hypocreaceae
Description: partial 28S ribosomal RNA
Source: RNAcentral